AGAGUUUGAUCCUGGCUCAGAGCGAACGCUGGCGGCAGGCUUAACACAUGCAAGUCGAGCGGGCACUUCGGUGUCAGCGGCAGACGGGUGAGUAACACGUGGGAACGUACCCUUUGGUUCGGAAUAACGCUGGGAAACUAGCGCUAAUACCGGAUACGCCCUUUUGGGGAAAGGUUUGCUGCCGAAGGAUCGGCCCGCGUCUGAUUAGCUAGUUGGUGGGGUAAUGGCCUACCAAGGCGACGAUCAGUAGCUGGUCUGAGAGGAUGAUCAGCCACACUGGGACUGAGACGCGGCCCAGACUCCUACGGGAGGCAGCAGUGGGGAAUAUUGGACAAUGGGCGCAAGCCUGAUCCAGCCAUGCCGCGUGAGUGAUGAAGGCCUUAGGGUUGUAAAGCCCUUUUGUCCGGGACGAUAAUGACGGUACCGGAAGAAUAAGCCCCGGCUAACUUCGUG
Molecule: ribosomal RNA, 453 nt
Filed under: uncultured Methylobacterium sp.
Lineage: Bacteria; Pseudomonadati; Pseudomonadota; Alphaproteobacteria; Hyphomicrobiales; Methylobacteriaceae
Description: bacterial SSU rRNA
Rfam family: Bacterial small subunit ribosomal RNA
Source: RNAcentral